RNAcentral lists this long non-coding RNA (3654 nucleotides) under Solanum tuberosum (potato). Its description in RNAcentral is "long non-coding RNA (STUB_LNC010609)". The record is from RNAcentral. Lineage: Eukaryota; Viridiplantae; Streptophyta; Magnoliopsida; Solanales; Solanaceae.
CUAAAAGACAAAAUUUGAUCUCCAUCACCGCUGCAUCUUCACACUACCGAAAAUCAUCUCUAUCUACGUUUUUGUAAUCUCCUUUGUUAUCGUCGAGCACCAGUCCCUGGUAACACACACAUCUAUUCUAUUUUACUCUUUUUAUCUGAAAUUGAAUUGAAUUUUGUACACCAUGAAGGACGGUUGUUAGCAUGUAAGAUCUAAGUUUAUUACGUCACCUCAUUGAAUCGAAUUAAAAUUGUGAUUUUUCUUGUUUAAUAUUCUCUCUUAUGUAUCCGUCGUAUUGUGAAAUGGGCACCUCAAAAAGGAGUUUUGGCACAUCCUCCAGUUGUAGCAUUUUGGAGUAACCAUGGUUGGAAUUCAACAUUAGAAAAUAUUAUUUAAAGGGUUCCCAUGAUCUGUAGGAUAUGAAUGUGAGUGCAACAUCACCAUUUAACAAUAAGAAUUUUACAGAUUUCGUUUAUUCGAUAUUAGACUUUCAUGUCAAUAUGUUAUUCCCUGUACAAAAUUUUUGUCUUUGUUUGAUCACCAUUCUCACCUCAUGAUAUUGAAGUUUCAGUUACAGUAACGAAGACAUAUUCCUAGAGUUGCACUGAAGUUUGUAAUCUGACUGUUUUCUUACUGUAUUUUUAUACUACUUUAGAGUGAAUACUGAAAAUUUUAUGUAUUUAUUUAUUAAUUUAUCAGAUAUGUAAAAAAAAUUAAGUACCAUAGGGUGUUUGUUGGCUUGUAUUGUACAGAGAGAUAUGGAUAAUAUUUUGUAGUGGUUUACUAGUUUCUCAAGAACAAGGAAGAACUCUUGAACUACUUUUUGAGAUUUAUGAAUUUAUUGAGCUUUACAUGAUUCUUUUGAUUCAUAUACAAAGGUAUAGAGAGUAUAUGAACACUUAAUAAACUAUCAUCCGUUGCACAUACACUUAUAACUCUUCCUAGAUCAUUUAUCUACCCUCUAAAUCCUAAUAUUGUAAGAUAAAGAUACUAAUCAUAGGCAUAAUGAUGUUAACAAUUUUGUUAACUAUAUAUUAAUUACUUUGUUUAAUAUUUUUGCUAUUCAGCGUUUGAUAUAGUUAAGGGCACACACGUGACAAUGCAGUGUUAAAGUGUUUCUUUCUUAUAUUAUCAUGAAUUUGAUAAGGAUUUGGGGCAAAAUUUGAUGCACACCAUUGUUGUUUUAGAACAAAGUUGUUGUGAGUUCUGUUCUUAAGCUACGAACAAUAUCUUGCAGCAAGUGUUAUUUGUUUCAAUGAUAAUUGAGAAUGUUUAAAAUGGAUCGAUAUGUCUAUAAAAAAUGAAGGGGUACUAACAGGUAUACUCGUUUGUUUGAGUUAUUUGUUUGCCACUUAUAGUAUCAACUCAAGGUUUAUUUAUGUUGCUUUAUUUUGUCUCUUGUUUCGUCGGCUUCUUCUCCAUUUUCUAGUUUGCUUAGUUCUUUUCUUAUGAGGGAUAGAAUCUUGUUACAUAUUAUCUAGAUAUCAGGCCUAAUUGUAUGAUUUUUAGCAUACACGUAACAAAAUGUGUUAAAAUACACAUGUCAUACAAGUUGAGGAUGAUUCUUCCAUGGUGCAUCAAUAUACGUUCUAACAUCUUCAGAUGAGGAUGAUGUUUCCUCCAGUUUUACAUGUGCGAUGUUAAUUUGGUACUAUUACAACUUAAUGCAGCUAGAUAAUUAGAUCAUUUUGGAUAUGGAACUAUGAAAAUUAGAGGUCGCAACAGAUUGGAAAUUCAACAACGCGAUGAAGAGGAUAUGUGAUAGCAUAUUGAGAAAUCGAUGGGUUGCCUGAACUACUCUCGAGCUGAACCUUAUAUUGAUCAGUUGAUAAAUAGUUAGAAUCUCACUGAAACCCAAGCACAUGAUGGUUAAUAUAAUGAGUUUAAUAGUUCUGUUUGUGGCACUAAUGUUCAACAUAAGGUCGAAUCAGGUAAUAUAAUUUUUCUUCUUAUCUAAUCUAUUAUAUACAAGAGCUUCAUAUUUAACUCUCUUAUUUGUUCUCUGUUUUAAACAAUGCCACGAGAUUGUUGUUUAUUUUGAUUUAGAAAUGAUUGAAGGAUAUUAAAGAUCUUGAGUUAUAUUUUAUUGUUAAGAAAAAAAAAUCUCAUUUAUAAGUUUUCCCUAUUGAAAUUCAGAUAUACGAGAGGAAUAAGAUGUGUUUCUUCCUUUCAUUGAUAAGUCUUUGGAUAUCUAGAGGAAAAACAAAAAUGAGAUAUAUAGUUUUAGGUAUUUGCCAUAAACUUUCAACUUCUAUACGUUGGUCAACAGCUCGCAUGCAAACGAAAAAAAAUAUGUUGGAUGAGAGUUUCCCCUAUUCUUGUGCUAUUCUAGUUACCAUGUGGGGCUGAAAAUGUUGCUAAAAGAUUAUCACUAAUGGUAUAUAUGUACAAGUUCUUUUUAAUAGUAUGGAAUGAAAAUUAGGACUGCAUGUAGAUAUAAGUAUAACUUUCAAGAAAAUGUGAUAUUGUGAAUCUGCAAAGGUCACUUCAAGCAUAUGUCUCACAUAGUAUAGUCACUUCUAUUUUCCAGAUAUGAUGAGCUUAGCAGUAAUGAACCAUUGUUGUUCUCAAUUCAAGGCAUGAAGCCUUUCACAGACAAACUAUGAUGGUAAACAAGUGUUGAUCUCAACUUAUGGAGGGGAAAGGAAAUGAAAAAUAAAACAUAUUUGUAUCUAGUUGCUUUGGUAGAGAUUUGAUUUUUAACUAAUGUUCACGAUCUGAGUGAACUAAGUAGGAUCCCUUUUGGGGAAAGUAUGUCAAUGCAUUUGAGAAUCAAAGGCAAAAUUUUGCCACUGUGCCGUUCAGAGAGUUUAAAAGAGAUUUUUCACUGUGUGAGUUGUGUCCUCAAAUAGAAAUAUUUUUUCAGUUUCUAUGUCCUUCAUUACACCUUCUGCGAAUAGCUCCUCCUGGAUUUGAGCCAGUUUACUUCCCUUUAGCAUAUGUGUUGGUUGAGACUUCGAAUCAGUUGAUAUUACUUUGUUUCUUGGUGAAUAUAGAGAACUAGAUCCUUUUUUGUUACCUUUGGGAUUGUAUAGGAUCAAACUCAAGUAGAUGAUGUAGUUAAUUAAACUUCUGGAGGUAUUAUGUUAAAUUAGGGUGUCAUGAGAUGCACUUUGAAUAUGCUAGGAGAUGCAACUUUUGCUGAAGUAAUCGAGAGCAGAUUUAUUGCUUUACCUAAAAUCAACUAUCCGUUUCUCUGUAAUACAUGAUAUCUUGUAAUUGUUGACAUAUAAUUUUUGCAGAAGAAAUUUUAUGUCCCAAAGCAUGGAUACGUGUUUAUCUUAAAUUUUACAAGGAAAGAAAUGGAAAGAUUACAAAUGCGAUUUAAAAGGUGGAUUAUAUGUCAAAGUAUAAGACUAAAGAUGCUCUGCUAAAUAAUAGACCAAGUUGCAUACUGAGGAAGCAAUGAAGUUGUACUGUCUCUUAUUGGCUUUCUAAUAAAAAUAAGGGUUCAAAAAAUGUUUAAAUUAUACUCCUAAUUCCUUUUUUCAUAGUAUUUUGAUUUUAGUUAUGCUCAAUUUUUAUUUAUAACUUUAAGAUAUCAUGUCAAUGAUUCAAUUUUCAGUGGCAGAGAUGUACCCAAGCAAACAAAAAUAAUAGGGCCAAGCACAAGAUGUCUCAAAUAGGACGAUUCAAAAAUAUUGUUACCUAGAUAGAUGAGCAGGU